GAAACAAGAAAGGGCAAGACGCUGUAGUGAAGUUGCAACAAAACGUGAUGCUUCUAUACCAUUGCUUACAACAGGGCAAAUAGCACCCACAAACCAAAUUUCUACAUGUUCAAAAAAGAGGAAAAUUCUUCCCCCAGUGCAGAAAGAAGUGCAAACCCCAGCCACGGAUUGUUCAACACACUCUAGUGGCACGGUUUUAAAGGCAAAGAUAUCUGCACCUACUCACGUGUUCAGUCUAAGUGAGCGCAGUACCCCAAGAAAGAGGAAGACUCCCCAUGGGAAAA
RNAcentral lists this long non-coding RNA (284 nucleotides) under Rattus norvegicus (Norway rat). Its description in RNAcentral is "long non-coding RNA NONRATT029978". Lineage: Eukaryota; Metazoa; Chordata; Mammalia; Rodentia; Muridae. The record is from RNAcentral.